Molecule: long non-coding RNA, 2163 nt
Organism: Schistocerca gregaria
Lineage: Eukaryota; Metazoa; Arthropoda; Insecta; Orthoptera; Acrididae
Exons: 3
Source: RefSeq, a predicted model, not a curated record
ACACUGUAGCGGCUGAUUCAUUCUCUAGUUUCAUGUUUGUAAUUCACAUUACACAUUCGUAUGCAAAUAUUGCUACAUGCUAACAAUUUGCAUUUUUUACUAUACGAACUUACAGCGGUUUGUUUACAACAAAUUUCACGAGGAAAGAAAUACACUGCGAAUAAUUGCCAGAAUGCCUACUCCUGGAACAGAUGUCUACAAGACGAUUAUGGCCAACGACCAAUGCGAGACUAAAGGAGUGUGACGUUGAGUCGCAAUGGCCGAAUACAAUCAGCAUCCUGCCAUUUAUUCACUUGCAACUUGCUACAGCGCCCCAGACAUUAACUGUGAUCACCACGAAGCGUUUUCCAAAAUUGACUGCAACCACGGAACCUCAAAUGAUCUGGCCACGGUAUUCAAGCUACGAUACCAUUUCGCCUGUGAAUAACAGGUAACAUCGCCGCAAAAUUUAUGGUGGUAUUGCAGGAUGUAAUCUUCUCUACAUUUUACAGUAUUUUUCUGGAAGUCAGUUUGGACACUAACAAAAUGCAUCCACCAUCAACAAUGGCCGUCUGCUCCAGUUAAUUUUAACAGUUUCCUUUCCAAUGAUUAAUUUCAAUCUUUAGUUACAACCAAUGGCGUUAUUAAAGCGAUCUAUGUGCGGGCAAGAAAAAUAUGUAUUGGAGGCUUAAUAAACACCAGAAGUCGGUAACAGGCAUUAAAUUAAAAUAAUCCUGUAAGUGGCUGCUGCACGUUUUGAAGAGAAAAAGGAUGCUGUUACCACAAUUCAACGUAUUCCAUUGUCGGCAAGAAGCAAAAGAAGCAGAAUCGAAAUUUUGGCUGUUUACAAUAAAAGCAGUUUUUUCUAACUUUUGCAGGAAAACGCCUUUCUACGCCACAGGCUCGAUCAGUCAUACGUCAUUGUUGAGGAAGAAUAAACGCUUAUUAUCAUGAGAUGUUUGGACAUCGAAAGCAACCCACUUAGGAAAAAAGUGCUUGCAAUAUUGUCGUUUGAAGACAACACUCUCGGAGAAGAUUUACUGAAGACUUGUGAUGAUUUCAUGACAAAAUCACACAUUAGUUACGAUAAAAUGAUGUCUCUUCAACUGACGGGGCGGAGACUCUGCGGUGAUCUGCAAAGAAAGGGACAAGCAGGGCUUAGUGAAAAAUUAGUGCCGCUCUGAAAGAAGUAAUGGACAAGUUGAUCAAACUGACUAAUUUCAUGAGAUCUCGGUUUGCUCCUCAGCACAGACAGUUAGGAGUUUCUGUCUGACAAUGAGUGUGAUUCGUCGCCUUCAUUCUUACUGCAGCACAAAUGUUCUUUGGCUAGUAAGAACAAUAGGGUGCGUAUAUAUAGUGAACAGACCUGAAUAAUGCUUCAAAAUGUUUUGGUAAACAAACUAAGACGUAACCUCCUUAGACAAUACGAGAAGUAUCUCGAUUUCGUAGCAAAUGAACGCAAUAUUCUAGCUGUGGCUUUCCUGAAAUGCGUUCUGAAAGAUUUAAAUGCGCUCAGUGCCGAGCUACAAGGAAAUGGGAAAUUAAUAUGUGAUCUGAUACGAAGUGCAUCUUCUUUCCGUCGCAAGGUGGGCAUCUUUGAAAAGACACUGCAGGUCAAGAAAUAUUCACUUUGCAACAUUUAUUGAAGAUGAAUACAAUUCUGAAGCAGGUACUUCAGUAUUUUCAAAUUUACGUCAGAUCCUAGAAAGCAAUUUGCAGCGAGAUUCCAAGCCUUUGCAGGGAUAGAGUAGUGGAUACGAUUUUAAAAAUCGCCUUUUGAAGAUUUUAUAGUUCCAGAAUGGUCUGAUGUGUCUGCUAACUUCUUCGGCCUUUCAAAGCCUUUACUCCAAUUGGAGAUAACAGAAUUGCAAGAAGACAUUUCCUUGCAAGCGUAUAUAACCGCAUCCACCAAAGAAUUUUGGAGUUAACGUGUCCCAGAAAAACAUGAAACUUGCAAAAAAGUAAUCCAUUUACCUGGCUACUAUGUUUGACUCCACAUCUGUUUGUUAAACAAUGAAUGUCGAUAGAGAUAAACAGCCGCCGACUUUAAGACAGUCUUCGCACAAGCUGCUCCCUGCGUGAAUCUAACUUUAAAAAGUGGAUCAAGCCCGCAAAUUUAACAUAUGCCACUGAUUUUUCAAUACAAUUAUAACUAUGUAUUGUAUUUCAUAUUACUCAGUAAAA